AGGAAGCGCUCGGUGGUGAAGUAGCGCAGGGUCGGCUUCGGGGCGCGCAAAGCGGUGAGGAAGACCUGCGGCGGCGGGAGGAGAGCUGUGGCCACCGCUGCGCGCCGGAGGACGCACCGCCCCCACUCCUGGAGUCCAGCCCGGCGCUCACCUCCGCCACCUCCUCAGGGUUCUGCGCCGCCUCGCGAAAGACUUGCUUGCUGUGGGCGAGGUAUUGGUAGAAGCGGUGGAAGGUGUGGAUGUCCGUGCGGUCCAGCACCUCCUCUGGGCUGCCCAACACCUUCUCCAUGAAGGCGGUGUGCACUGGGCCGCACUCGAUCAGGCUCAAGCUGCUGGCCGGAGAGCAACGAGUGGGAGGGGGCGGACGCCAGCCAGGCCCCAGUCCCAGCCCCAACCCCAGUCCCAGCCCCAACCACGUCCCGGCCCCCGACCGCGAGCAGCACCGCUGCGCUGGGAAGUGAGGCGGAAAGGGCGCUGGGGAUAACCAGAACAUUUGAAACGCGGGUUCCUGCCGGAGCAGCCCUCCCAAAUCCAUCUGAGGCUACAAGGGAGCCCUGGUGUCAGGAUUCGAAUCUAGCGGGGUCCCUGGCCGCUGUGUGACCUUGGGCCAGUCACCUAACCUCUCUGGGCUGGAGCUUCCCCAUAACAAUACCAACACUUCAGCAGCUAGGUCAGCAGGUGGCACAAUGCGUGCCAUGCGCCCAGCCCAAGUGCCUGGCACACAGCUAAUGUGAGCCGGGCAGAGAGGGCCAGGGAGAUCGCCCCAGAGCGGCUCCCGCAGGACAGGGUGCUCGGCGUCUCUAGGUCAGAGUUAAGAGGGUUCGGGGAACGGGGGUGUUGACUCACUGGACCCCAAAGGGCAGCAGCAGAACCGCCAGACUCUCGCAUAAGCCUUCGAGCGCGAACUUGCUGGCGCAAUAAACGUCAUUGAAAGGCAGCCCUUAGGUGGGGAGACGAGGUUCCUGAGGCGCAGCGGCCAGGGGGUCAUCCCCGGGCAGACGGUGCCCCUCCAAGCUGACGGCACCCCACUCCACCCCCCCCGCGGAACCUGCCUUCAAGGCUCAGCUCCGCACACAAAGAAUCUGGAGCUGCCGAGGCCACUCCCUACCACUCACCCAUCAAUCCUCCCACGCUCCCGGUCACCAACACGCGUCCCGAACCGCGCCUCUUCAUGUCUGGCAGGAAGGCCUGCAGCAUCCGCACAGUCCCUACUACAUUCACGUCCAGCACAGAGGCCACGGCGUCCUCCCCCAGCGCCUCCAGCGGCCCCAGCAGGCCCAGGCCUGCGUUACACACUGCGGAGACAAGAGGCCCGACCAGCCCGCCUCAGCAUCACCCUCAGCACGGCCUGUCCCCUCGUGCUCCCUGGGCCUGGGAACAUGUUGGUUUCAACGCAGGGCGGAGAAGGCUCCUAGGAGCCCAUAUGCUUCCAGGAGGCUCACCCAGCACGUCCACGCGGCCCUCAGUCACGCGUUCCCGGGCAGCGGCCACGGAUUUUGAGUCCCUUACGUCCAGCUGCAACGUCUCCAGGGAUCCCGGAGGGCAUGCCAGGGCCCGGGCCGCCUCCCACAGCCGGCCCUGUGUUUUCAGGUCCCUCAACGUGGCAUACACUGGAGGUUUUGGGAGAGGAGGAAGAUCUGACUUCCCUUCUGGCCUCCAAGGGCUCCUCCCUUCUCUCCCUCCCUGUCCCUGCCUAUCUAUACCUUUGAAGCUCUGGGAUGGAUCUGAAGCCAGACGUACGGCCAAGUGCAGGCCGAUGCCCGAGGAACAGCCGGUGAUGAGCACCACGGUGCGGGCCAUGGUGAGACUGUGGGGAGAGGCUGGGGCUCUGGGCUUGAUAUCACCUGCUUCGCCCCGCCCCGCCUGCGGGCCCCCACCCCUUGUUGUGUCUCCCACGCAAUCUCAAGGAUAAGCCUUCCUGCGGGUCCCUGGCCCGCUCUCCCCACCCUGUUCUGAGCCAAAACAGACAUGAGCCCACUGCUUGGAACAACAAACUGUCCUGGUUGCUGGUCAGAGGGAGGGGAGGCUUUACAAGCAGGUGUGGGUUCCCACGUGGGCACAGAGUGGCCCCCUGGGCAGAUUCCCCUGGGUAUGCCUCUGUGCCACAGGAGCGAUUAUAGUGACCGCAGUUUGCUGCAGAGGCUGUGAAAGUAAAGGCGUUGGGAGGUGGGAGAUGAUUGUAUAUGUGCUGGUUUCGUCCAGGGUUCCUAGCUCAUAACUCACAUGACCAUGGUUACAGUCUUACGUUGUCAUGUUGGGGUGCCUCAGGCCUCAAAAAACAGCCUUUCGUCUCUCUGACCUUCUCCUGUCCUCUUUUCAGCUGCCCAAGGCAGGACUCUAAUCUGAUUGUGGGUUGUAGGAUCCUCAUUCCAGAGUGGGUCCUUGCCCCAUACCCUGGAGAAAGGAAUGCUGCACAAAGGCCCAAAGAAUCUGGACUGGCCUUGCUGGGCUUAGAUCAGACCCUUUUUGCCCAAUCACAUUAUCACAGUUGUCCAUGCUUCAGUCAUGGACAGCCAAUGGAGUUCUCCAUAAAAGGCCCAAAGGACAGGGUUCGGGAGCUUCUGAGGGCUGAACGUGUGGAGGCUGACAGAAUGUGCCCAGAGGGUGACGUAACCCCAACUCUAUGGAGAUAGAAGCUCCUGCUCUGGACCCUUCCAGACCGCCCUGUCUGUAUCUCUUCAUAUGGCUGUUUAUUUCUAUCCUUUAAAAUAUGCUUUGAGGCUGGGCACGGUGGCUCAUGCCUGUAAUCCCAGCACUUUGGGAGGCCCAGGAAAGGGGAUUGUUGGAGCCCAGGAGUUCAAGACCAGGCCAGGUAACAGAGUGAGACCCGGUCUCUGCAAAAAAUAUUAAAAAGCUUCCCAAGUAGCCGGGACUACAGGUGUGUGCCAUCACUGCCACCAUACCCAGCUAAUUUUUUGACUUUUUUGUAGAGACGGGGUCUCACUUUGUUUCCCAGGCUUUUUUUUAUUUUUGAGACAAAGUAUUGCUUAGGUUGGAGUGCAGUGUCUUAAUCUUGGCUCACUGCAUCCUGCAUCUGCCUGGUUCAGGCGAUUCUCCUGCAUCAGCCUCCCGAGUAGCUGGGAUUACAGGCACCCGCCACCACGCCCAGCUAAUUUUUAGUAUUUUUAGUAGAGACGGAGUUUCACCAUGUUGGCCAGGCUGGUCUCAAACCCCUGAUGUCAAGCGAUCUGCCCACCUCAGCCUCCCAAAGUGCUCGGAUUAUAAAAAAGUGCCACCCCACCUGGCCCUGUCAUUUUUAGAAGAUUAUUUUAUUUUGAGACGGAGUUUCGCGCUUCUUGCCCAGGCUGGAGUGCUGUGGCACGAUUCUGGCUCACUGCAACCUCCACCUCCCGGGUUCAAGCAGUUCUCCUGUCUCAGCCUCCCAAGUAGUUGGGAUUACAGACACGUCCCACCACAUCCGGCUAAUUUUUGUAUUUUUAGUAGAGAUGGGGUUUCUCCCUGUUGGUGAGGAUGGUCUUGAACUCCCAACCUAAGGGGAUCAGCCAGCCUCCACCUCCCAAAGUGCUGGUAUUACAGGCGUGAGCCACUGUGCCCAUCCUAAAAGAUCAUUUUAACUGCUCUGGGGUAAUUUCACUGCUGAUGGGCAGGAGUGGAAUCAAGAAAACUAGUUAGGAGGCUACUGCUGUAAUUGAAGGGAGAGAUGACAGUGUGCAGUCUGGAAUAGGGUGAUUUGGGGAUAUGCUUUGAUGAGCAAAGGUAGAGCUGUCAGUAUUUGCUGCUGAAUUGGUUGAAAGGUGAGAGAGACUGGAGUCAAGGACUACUCCAGGGUUUUUAAAACCAGUAUUGGGAAAAAUGGAGUUGUCAUAUAGUAAAGUAGAGAAGACUGGGGGAGGAGCCGGUAGGAGGACUGGAAAUGUGGAAUUGGGGUUUAGACACAUUAAGUUCAUUGUAUCAGGUGGACGUGUUGUAUUGAGUAGGCAGUUGGAGAUACAGACCUGGAGUCUGUGGGAGACAGUGGGGUUUCUUUGGUGGGGGGGUCAUCGGCAUCUAAGUGCUAUUCGAAGUCAUGGGACUGCAGAAGAUUAUAUUAACAAUGUGAAUAUUCACAAGCUUGAAAAAAUGAAUGUACGGAAGAGAGGGGGUCACACUUUACCUCUUAUUAUCCCACCCCCAGGGGUGACCUUGUGAGCCACACCACACAGGUACACACAUGCACGCAUAUGUACACACACUGUCACAGAGGGGCAAAGGGGGUUGGCGAGAGCGGGACUGAGAGCAGAUCCCAGGCCUCAGAAACCCAUGCCACCUGGGCCCCCUCCCUGUGGCCUUCCUGGAUGCUGUAGGGAUAGCAGAUCUGUCUGGGUCAGCAGGGCAAGGCGACUGGCAGGAGGGGGUGGCUGGGAGGCCUCUUCCUCCAAGAGCAGGGGCAGCACAUCAUCCAACAGGCAGAGAAGACCCUCAUCCAGAGGUAGGGGCAGGUCAGGGUGGAGUGCCUGCCUCCUUCCCCUAGUGCCCCACACAAAGCUCCAAGAGCUCCAGCAGGCUCCUGUCUGUUUCCACUUCCCAGGCUUUCUGUGGUCAUGUCCCUGCCCACUCCAAAGGGCCAUCCCCCUCAGCCUUCCCUCCCUCUCAGACCCAGCUGAAUCCCUGCCUCGGUACCGCCCCCUCCUGGGGCACUCCUGCCCCCUUCCUCUGCUGCAUCCUCACCUAGCCUCCUAUCUGUUCACACCUCCCCUGCACCAGACCUCCACAGAAGUUCAGACAGUGGCUCUACAACCCUACUGGCCCCUAUCAAUGACUUCUGCCCCCCUGGGACCCUCCACUGGGCUCAGGAAAGAUGGGCCAUUGUAGCAAAGUAGCCAGUCCUGUAGCCCCAGCUGGACCUCCUGGUGAGGCAGCUUCCCAGAUGGUGGGGAUCGCUCAGUCCUCUGGGGCAGAACAGGGUGAGUGGGGCUGUCUCCCUUUGAUUCACUUAGCCCUCUUUCUUCUUUACACAUUUGCAAAAUGUGACAGUAGUCAUAUUACUAUUCAUUCUAAUAACAGUCCUUGCUGGGUAUUAAACCUCUAUACUAGCACUUUCAGGCAUUAUCUCCACCAUUACUAAAACCGAUUAGAUAGGUAUUAUUAUACCCAUUUUACAGAUAAGAAAGACUCAGAGGGCCGGAUGGGGUGGGUCAUGCCUGUAAUCCCAGCACUCUGAGAGGCCAGGGCGGGCGGAUCACCUGAGGUCGGGAGUCCAAGACCAGUCUGACCAACAUGGAGAAACCUCGUCUCUACUAAAAAUACAAAAUUAGCUGGGCGUGGUGGCACAUGCCUGCAAUCCUAGCUACACUUGAACCCGGGAGGCAGAGGUUGUGGUGAACUGAGACCGCGCUAUUGCACUCCAGGCUGGGCAACAAGAGUGAAACUCCGUCUCAAAACAAAAGAAAAACAAAAAAGAAAAGAAAAGGGAAAGGAAAGGAAAGCACUCAGAGAAAGCAAGGAACUUGCCUGAGGUCUCAUGGCUAAUGGAGUGCAGGUCACAACCUGACUCUACCCCAACCCAAGUCCCACCUAACUCGUCCUGCAGAUGCCCCUUGGGUAUCCAGUGACUGUGUCUGGGCUUUACUGUGGACUUGAGGCAUGAUCCUGGGCUGGCUUCUUUCUGGACCUUGGUUUCUGGGUUGUUGGGUUGGUUGGUUGAUUAGAUUAAUUAAUUGACAGUGUCUCACUCUAUCGCCCAAGCUGGAGAGCAGUAGCUCGAUCAUGCCCACUGCAGCCUCCAACUCCUGAGCUCAAGGAAUGGUGCCACUGUGCUAAUUUUUUUAUUUUAGAGAUGGGGUGUCUCACUAUGUUGCUCAGGCUGGUCUGGAACUCCUGGCCUGGAGCGAUCCUCCUGCCUCGGCCUUCCAAAGCUCUGGGAUUAUAGGCGACAGCCAUCGCGCCUAGCCGCGCAGAUAUAACGGGCUAACGUGAUCUGUCUUAAUUAGCCAUCCACAGCCGUCACCGCCGUCCCAUCCCCAGGGACCGCACAGGCCCAGGAGACAAAGGAGGGCGCGGGAGACAGUGGCUGACGGAGCCUUUCUUGCGGGGCGGCCAGAGGAUCGCUGAGCUCAGGGUCUCCCAUCCCACCGGCCCCGCCCCCGGCCUCGGCCCCAGCCCCGGCCCCAGCCUCGGCCUCUGCGGGAUCGUCGGCGAACACGUCCCGGUGCAUGGCGGCGGCGUAGUCGAAGCCAAAGGGGUCGUCCAGGCGCAUCAGCAGCUGGUGCAGGAAGCGCCUGGUUGUGAAGUAGCGCAGGGUCGGCUUCGGGGCGCGCAUAGCGGUGAGGAAGACCUGCGGCGGCGGGAGAGGAGCUCUGGCCCGGGCUGCGCGCAGGACGACGCACCGCCCCCGCUCCCGGAGUCCCGCCCCCCGCUCACCUUCACCACCUCCUCAGGGUGCUGCGCCUCCUCGCGGUAGAUCUCCUUGCUGUGGUGGAGGUAUUAGUGCAAGAGGCGGAAGGUCCGGGUGUUCGUGCGGUCCAUCACCUGGUCGGGACCGCCCAACACCUUCUGCAUGAAGGCGGUGUCCACAGGGCCGCACUCGAUCAGGCUCACGCUGCUGGCCCGAGAGCCGCAAGUGGGCAGGGACGGAGGCGACCCAGGCGCCAAGUCCCAUCUCCUGCCCCAGCACCGGCCCCGACCCCGGCCCUGGCCACGACCCAGAACAGCACCGCUGCGUCCCGAAGGUGGAAAGAGCGCUGGGGAUAACCAGAACAUUUGAAUAGCGGGUUAUUGCUCGACAGCCCUCCCAAACCCAUCUGAGGCUGCCAGGUAGCCCUGGUGUCAGAAUUCGAACCUGGCGGGAUCCCCGGCCGCUGCAUGACCUUGGGCCAGUCACCUAACCUCUCUUGGCUGGAGCUUCCCCAUAACAAUACCAACACUUCAGCAGCCAGGUCAGCAAGUGGCACAAUGCGUGCCAAUGCUCCAGCCUAAGUGCCUGGCACGCAGCAAAUGUAAGCCGGGCAGAGACCAGAGCGGCUUCCGCAGGACAGGGUGCUCGGCAUCUCUAGGUCAGAGUUAAGAGGGUUGAGGAGACGGGGGUGUUGACUCACUGGACCCCAAAGGGCAGCAGCAGAACCGCCAGACUCUCGCAUAAGCCUUCGAGCGCGAACUUGCUGGCGCAAUAAACGUCAUUGAAAGGCAGCCCUUGGGUGGGAAGAUGAGGUUCCUGAGGCGCAGCGGCCAGGGGGUCAUCCCCCGGCAGGCAGUGCCCCUCCAAGCUGAUUGCACCCCACCCCCUAAGGAGCCUGCCUUCAAGGCUCAGCUCUGCACACAAAGAAUCUGGAGCUCCGGGCCCGGUCCCUGCCACUCACCCAUCAAUCCUCCCAUGCUCCCAGUCACCAACACGCGUCCCGAACCCGGCCGCUUCAUGUCUGGCAGGAAGUCCUGCAGCACCCGCACAGUACCUACUACAUUCACAUCCAGUACAGAGGCCACAGCGUCCUCCCCCAGCGGCCCCAGCAGGCCCAGGCCUGUGUCACACACUGCGGGGACAGAGGCCCAACCAGCCCGCCUCAGCAUCACCCUCAGCACGGCCUGUCCCCUCAUGCUCCAGGGGCCUGGGGACAUGUUGGUUUCAACGCAGGGCGGAGAAGGCUCCUAGGAGCCCAUAUGCUUCCAGGAGGCUCACCCAGCACAUCCACACGGCCCUCGGUCACGCGUUCCCGGGCAGCGGCCAGGGAGCUUGAGUUCCUUACAUCCAGCUGCAACCUCUCCAGGGAUCCCUGAGGGCAUGCCAGGGCCCGGGCCGCCUCCCACAGCCGGCCCUGUGUUUUCAGGUCCCUCAACGUGGCAUACACUGGAGGUUUUGGGAGAGGAGGAAGAUCUGACUUCUCUUCUGGCCUCCAAGGGCUUUUCCCUUCUCUCCCUCCCUGUCCCUACCUAUCUAUACCUUUGAAGCUCUGGGAUGGGUCCAAAGCCAGAUGUAUUGCCAAGUGCAGGCCAAUACCUGAGGAACAGCCGGUGAUGAGCACCACGGUGCAGGCCAUGGUGAGACUGUGGGGAGAGGCUGGGGCUCUGGGCUGGAUAUCACCUGCUUCGCCCCGCCCCGCCUGCGGGCCCCCACCCCUUGUUGUGUCUCCCACGCAAUCUCAAGGAUAAGCCCUCCUGCGGGUCCCUGGCCCGCUCUCCCCACCCUGUUCUGAGCCAAAACAGACAUGAGCCCACUGCUUGGAACAACAAACUGUCCUCGUUUCUGGUCAGAGGGAGGGGAGGCUUUACAAGCAGAUGUGGGUUCCCACGUGGGCACAGAGUGGCCCCCUGGGCAGAUUCCCCUGGGUAUGCCUCUGUGCCACAGGAGCGAUUAUAGUGACCGCAGUUUGCUGCAGAGGCUGUGAAAGUAAAGGUGUUGGGAGGUGGGAGAUGAUUGUAUAUGUGUUGGUUUCGUCCAGGGUUCCUAGCUCAUAACUCACAUGACCAUGGUUACAGUCUUUCGUUGUCAUGUUGGGGCGCCUCAGGCCUCAAAAAACAGCCUUUCCUCUCUUUGACCUUCUCCUGUCCUCUUUUCAGCUGCCCAAGGCAGGAUUCUAAUCUGAUUGUGGGUUGUAGGAUCCUCAUUCCAGAGUGGGUCCUUGCCCCAUACCCUGGAGAAAGGAAUGCUGCACAAAGGCCCAAAGAAUCUGGACUGGCCUUGCUGGGCUUAGAUCAGACCCUUUUUGCCCAAUCACAUUAUCACAGUUGUCCAUGCUUCAGUCAUGGACAGCCAAUGGAGUUCUCCAUAAAAGGCCCAAAGGACAGGGUUCGGGAAGCUUCUGAGAGCUGAACGUGUGGAGGCUGACAGAAGGUGAAGAACUCAUCCAUGUGCCUGGAGGGUGAUGUAACCCCAACUCUAUGGAGAUAGAAGCUCCUGCUCUGGGCCCUUCCAGACCGCCCUGUCUGUAUCUCUUCAUAUGGCUGUUUAUUUCUAUCCUUUAAAAUAUCCUUUGAGGUUGGGCACGGUGGCUGAUGCCUGUAAUCCCAGCACUUUGGGAGGCCAAGGCAAGGGGAUUGCUGGAGCUCAGGAGUUCAAGACCAGCCAGGGCAACAGAAUGAGACCCCGUCUUUGCAAAAACUACAAAAAAAUUAGCUGGGUGUGGUGGUGUAUGCUUAGAGUCCCAGCCACUUGCGGGGUGGGGCGCUGAGGCGUGGGGUUUGGGGGGAUGGAGGCUGUAGUGAGCCGAGAUCAUGCCACUGCACUCCAGCCUGGGUGACGGAGCCAGAUCCUGCCACUGCAGUCAUUCUGGAUGACAGAGUGAGACCCUGUCUCAAAAAAGAAAGAAAAAAAUUUUUUUCCUCUGUAAUAAAGCAAUAAACAUAAUAAGGGUUUCCCUGUGUUUCGUGGGUCACUGUCGCAAAUGAGUUGACUCCAAAGAGGGGAAGGGGGUCAUGGGAACUCCAACUUGAAGCCAGUUAGUCAGAAGUUCCAGGGAUCAGGACUUGUAACCGUUGGGAAGGAGGGGGUGGUCUCAUGGAUCUGCACCCUAACCCUGUGGGAUCUGAUGCUGUCUCUGGUUGAUUACAUUGGAACUGAAUUGGAGGACACCCAGCUGAUGUCUGCUGCUUGGUGUGUGUGGGGAAAAUCCUCCAAAUAUUUGGUCACAGAAGUCUUCUGUGUUGGUGACUGUUGCUGUGGCAUGCCAGCAAAGGACAAACAUGGUUUGAAAAGAGGUUUUCCUGCAACAGAAGGGCAUUCUACGUUCAAAGGUCAGGGUAACAUUAGUGUUAAAAAGAGAGACGUGGCCGGGCACGGUGGCUCACUCCUGUAAUCCCAGCACUUUGGAAGGCCGAGGCAGGUGGAUCACUUGAGUUCAGGAGUUAAAGACCAGCCUGGCCAACAUGGUGAAACCUUAUCUCUAUGAAAAAUACAAAAAUUAGCCGGGCGUGAUGGCACAGGCCCGUAGUCCUAACUCCCUGGUAGACUGAGGCAGGAGAAUUGCUUGAACCCGGGAGGCAGAGGUUGCAGUAAACCAAUAUGGUGCCACUAAACUCCAACCUGGGCGACAGAGCAAGACUCCAUCUUGGAAAAAAAAAAAUUAGCCUGGCGUGGUGGUGCAUGCCUAUAGUCCCAGCUACCGGGGAGGCUGAGGCACAAGAAUUGCUUGAACCCAGGAGGCGGAGGUUGCAGUGAGCCGAGACUGUGCCAUUGUACUCAAGCCUGGGCAACAGACCAAGGCUCCGUCAC
This 10141-nucleotide long non-coding RNA is filed under the name Homo sapiens (human). Its description in RNAcentral is "non-protein coding lnc-PSMC3IP-3:11". The record is from RNAcentral. Lineage: Eukaryota; Metazoa; Chordata; Mammalia; Primates; Hominidae.